GAUGAACGCUGGCGGCGUGCCUAAUACAUGCAAGUCGAGCGAACGGACGAGAAGCUUGCUUCUCUGAUGUUAGCGGCGGACGGGUGAGUAACACGUGGAUAACCUACCUAUAAGACUGGGAUAACUUCGGGAAACCGUAGCUAAUACCGGAUAAUAUUUUGAACCGCAUGGUUCAAAAGUGAAAGACGGUCUUGCUGUCACUUAUAGAUGGAUCCGCGCUGCAUUAGCUAGUUGGUAAGGUAACGGCUUACCAAGGCAACGAUGCAUAGCCGACCUGAGAGGGUGAUCGGCCACACUGGAACUGAGACACGUUCCAGACUCCUACGGGAGGCAGCAGUAGGGAACCUUCCGCAAUGGGCGAAAGCCUGACGGAGCAACGCCGCGUGAGUGAUGAAGGUCUUCGGAUCGUAAAACUCUGUUAUUAGGGAAGAACAUAUGUGUAAGUAACUGUGCACAUCUUGACGGUACCUAAUCAGAAAGCCACGGCUAACUACGUG
RNAcentral lists this ribosomal RNA (497 nucleotides) under uncultured bacterium. RNAcentral describes it as "partial 16S ribosomal RNA". It matches the Rfam family "Bacterial small subunit ribosomal RNA", at positions 28 to 507 of the family's 1533-position model. The record is from RNAcentral.